This 1388-nucleotide long non-coding RNA is filed under the name Homo sapiens (human). Its description in RNAcentral is "HSALNT0066764". The record is from RNAcentral. Lineage: Eukaryota; Metazoa; Chordata; Mammalia; Primates; Hominidae.
ACACACAAUCACACAUACCGCACACACAACCACACACAAUACACACCACACAACCACACACACCACACACAACCACAAACACCACACACCACACACAACACACACAACCACACACACAACACAACACACAACCACACACAACAUACAACACACACAACCACACACCACACAACCACACACUGCAACCACACACACAAUACACACAACACACAGCACACACCACACACAACACACAGCACACACCACACAACCACACACAGUCACACAUACCACACACACCACACAACCACACACACAAUCACACAUACCACACACAACCACACACACAACACAGACACACAACCACACACACACCACACACCACACACAACCACACACCACACACAGCCACACACCACGCACAACCACACAACCACACACCACACACAACCACACACACAACACACACCACACACACAACCAUACACAACCACACACAACACCAUAUAAUCACACACACAAUCACACAUACCACGCACCACACAUAACACACACCACACGACCACACACCACACAACCACACACACCACACACAACCACACAUACCACACAACCACACCACACACCACACACACAACCACACAACCACACACCACACACCACACACAACCACACACACCACAACCACACACACAACACACACAACCACACACCACACAACCACACCCACCACAACCACACACACCUACACACACCACACACAACCACACAACCCCACACACAACCACACACAACCACACAACCACACACCACACACCACACACAACCACACAACACACAAACACACAACACACAACCACACACAACACACACCACACACAACCACACACCACACACAACAUACACAACCGCACACACAACACACAACCACACAACACACAGCACACACAACCCCACACACACCACACAACCACACACCGCAACCACACACACAACACACACAACACAGCACACAGCACACAACCACACAGUCACAUAUACCACACACACAACACACACCACACAACCACACACCACACACACAAUCACACACAACCACACAACACACCACACACCACACACAACCACACACCACACAAACAUACAACACACAACCACACACCACACACACAACCACACAACCAACCACACACCACACACACCCACACACACCAACACAACACACAACCACACACCACACACACAACCACACAACCACACACCACACACAACCACACACACAACCACACACACCACACACAGCUACACACACCACAUACACUACACACACAACCACACACACCACACACACACAACCACACAACGGUGUGGCUGAAGCCAGCAGAAAUGAAAAGUCCUCUGGUACCUCC